This 792-nucleotide long non-coding RNA is filed under the name Phascolarctos cinereus (koala). RNAcentral describes it as "lncRNA (ENSPCIG00000011145.2)". Lineage: Eukaryota; Metazoa; Chordata; Mammalia; Diprotodontia; Phascolarctidae. The record is from RNAcentral.
CAGCACUUGGUCAGGAGCGAAGUGGCCACAGGACGAAGGUAGUGAAGGAAGUCAGGAUUCAGAGUCAAAAGACCCAGGUUUGGGUCUUAGUUACUCGCUUACUCACUGAAUGAGCUGUGUGGCUUGGGGCCUGGAAGGCCUCAAAAAACUGGGUUCUCAUUCCACUUCUAGUAAGGAGCAGAAUUUCAGUUCUAUCGCUUUUUCUUUGGCAGCCAGAAGACAUUGCCCUCCUGGGUCACAGGACACAGAGACCCAGUCUGACAGAUCCACCUUUUACCAAGGGACAGCACUGAAAUCACCCAGUCCCGGCAAUGAAAACAGCAAGCAACUAUGGAAUGGAGAGAGGCUCAGGAGUAAAAAGCUGGUUAGAGGAGAAGGAACUUCUCUACUGAUGGAAAGUUCCCUGGGGAUGGAGGAGAGAAAUUAACCCAAUCUGGCUACUUCCCCUUAGCGAGUCAACAUAGCAGAGAUCCAGCCUCACAUCCCUAGUGCUCCAACGGAACACUGUCAUUGAAACCACUCACCCCUCCAAAAAAAAAGUCUAAAUAAGAGAAAACAUGCAGUUAUAGAUGAGAGAAUAAGCAAAUAGGGAGGGGAGGGCUGAUACAAGACUUUUUGUGUCAGGAUAGAAAGACAAAUAGCAAAAAGAACAAGAGAGAACGCCUCGAUGAAAUCUCAGACAUAAGCAGAUAAACUGACAGGGACACUUAAAGAAAGAAAGGAAUAUGAACAAAGAAUCUAGAAAAGGGAUACAGCACAAUAAAUCAGUACUACAUAAUAAGGAAACCCCCA